GCGAAAGUGGCGGAAUCGGCAGACGCGCCAGACUUAGGAUCUGGUGGGGUAACACCCGUGGGGGUUCGAAUCCCCCCUUUCGCA
Molecule: transfer RNA, 84 nt
Filed under: Rhodothermaceae bacterium
Lineage: Bacteria; Pseudomonadati; Rhodothermota; Rhodothermia; Rhodothermales; Rhodothermaceae
Description: tRNA-Leu
Rfam family: tRNA
About the family: Transfer RNA (tRNA) molecules are approximately 80 nucleotides in length. Their secondary structure includes four short double-helical elements and three loops (D, anti-codon, and T loops).
Source: RNAcentral